AACGUAGGUCACAAGCGUUGUCCGGAAUUACUGGGUGUAAAGGGAGCGCAGGCGGGAGAACAAGUUGGAAGUGAAAUCCAUGGGCUUAACCCAUGAACUGCUUUCAAAACUGUUCUUCUUGAGUAGUGCAGAGGUAGGCGGAAUUCCCGGUGUAGCGGUGGAAUGCGUAGAUAUCGGGAGGAACACCAGUGGCGAAGGCGGCCUACUGGGCACCAACUGACGCUGAGGCUCGAAAGUGUGGGUAGCAAACAGG
Molecule: ribosomal RNA, 253 nt
Filed under: Faecalibacterium prausnitzii
Lineage: Bacteria; Bacillati; Bacillota; Clostridia; Eubacteriales; Oscillospiraceae
Description: partial 16S ribosomal RNA
Rfam family: Bacterial small subunit ribosomal RNA
Source: RNAcentral